CAACGAGCGCAACCCUUAAGCUUAGUUGCCAUCAUUAAGUUGGGCACUCUAAGUUGACUGCCGGUGACAAACCGGAGGAAGGUGGGGAUGACGUCAAAUCAUCAUGCCCCUUAUGAUUUGGGCUACACACGUGCUACAAUGGACAAUACAAAGGGCAGCGAAACCGUGAGGUCAAGCAAAUCCCAUAAAGUUGUUCUCAGUUCGGAUUGUAGUCUGCAACUCGACUACAUGAAGCUGGAAUCGCUAGUAAUCGUAGAUCAGCAUGCUACGGUGAAUACGUUCCCGGGUCUUGUACACACCGCCCGUCACACCACGAGAGUUUGUAACACCCGAAGCCGGUGGAGUAACCUUUUAGGAGCUAGCCGUCGAAGGUGGGACAAAUGAUUGGGGUGAAGUCGUAACAAGGUAGCCGUAUCGGAAGGUGCGGCUGGAUCACCUCCUUUCUAAGGA
RNAcentral lists this ribosomal RNA (450 nucleotides) under Staphylococcus aureus. RNAcentral describes it as "bacterial SSU rRNA". It matches the Rfam family "Bacterial small subunit ribosomal RNA", at positions 1090 to 1533 of the family's 1533-position model. Lineage: Bacteria; Bacillati; Bacillota; Bacilli; Caryophanales; Staphylococcaceae. The record is from RNAcentral.